Molecule: ribosomal RNA, 253 nt
Filed under: uncultured bacterium
Lineage: Bacteria
Description: partial 16S ribosomal RNA
Rfam family: Bacterial small subunit ribosomal RNA
Source: RNAcentral
UACAGAGGUGGCAAGCGUUGUUCGGAAUUACUGGGCGUAAAGGGCGCGUAGGCGGUCUUGUAAGUCUUGUGUGAAAUCCCUCGGCUCAACUGAGGAACUGCACGGGAUACUGCGAGACUUGAGUUCGGGAGAGGGAAGCGGAAUUCCGGGUGUAGCGGUGAAAUGCGUAGAUAUCCGGAGGAAUACCGGUGGCGAAGGCGGCAUCCUGGACCAUUACUGACACUGAACCGCGAAAGCUAGGGGAGCAAACGGG